GAUGAAGAACGUAGUGAAAUGCGAUAAGUAAUGUGAAUUGCAGAGUUCAGUGAAUCAUCGAAUCUUUGAACGCACAUUGCGCCCGCCAGUAUUCUGGCGGGCAUGCCUGUUCGAGCGUCAUUACAACCCUCAGGCCCCCGGGCCUGGCGUUGGGGAUCGGCGGAGCCCCCCGUGGGCACACGCCGUCCCCCAAAUACAGUGGCGGUCCCGCCGCAGCUUCCAUCGCGUAGUAGCUAACACCUCGCGACUGGAGAGCGGCGCGGCCACGCCGUAAAACACCCAACUCUUCUGAAGUUGACCUCGAAUCAGGUAGGAAUACCCGCUGAACUUAAGCAUAUCAAUAAGCGGAGGA
Molecule: unclassified non-coding RNA, 352 nt
Filed under: soil metagenome
Description: partial contains 5.8S ribosomal RNA, internal transcribed spacer 2, and large subunit ribosomal RNA
Rfam family: 5.8S ribosomal RNA (bases 1-120)
Source: RNAcentral